RNAcentral lists this unclassified non-coding RNA (263 nucleotides) under plant metagenome. RNAcentral's name for it is "partial contains small subunit ribosomal RNA, internal transcribed spacer 1, and 5.8S ribosomal RNA". The record is from RNAcentral.
UUUCCGUAGGUGAACCUGCGGAAGGAUCAUUAUUGUAUAAGCGAGGUGCGAGGGCUGUCGCUGACCCGAAAGGUCGUGCACGCCAGAGUGCUCUCACACACAUCCAUCUCACCCCUAUGUGCACUACCCCCUGGGUCCCCCUUUGGCUUGUUCGGAGGGGGGCUUACGUUUUCACACAAACUUUGUAUGCAGUGUAGAAUGUAUUUUUUGUCUUUGCGAUCACGCAAUCAAUACAACUUUCAACAACGGAUCUCUUGGCUCUG